UUUUUAUAUGCCGCAGAGGACUAAGUACAACAACAUGGAGCCGGAUGUUGUUGAUUUCUUUGGGGAAUGUAUGAAUAGUCCCCGAAAUGGUCGUACUCCGCUUGCAAAUGAGAUAUAUGAGCAAAUGGUUGCAGAGAAGGAAAGAGAGCUAGAAGAAGGAGAAGCACAAAAGUCACCCUCCAGGAUUGUUGCUGAUAGUCUCAGCCAGAUCAGUCGCUCAUCCACCUUCCUUCCAAACAUUGGUGUCUGUUUGAGUGCUUCAAACCUUUGUGGUGGAACCUUUGUAUGUUUGAACCUCUGUUGUGGAAGAACUAGUGUGCUGGAAUUGUGUAUGACUUGUGAUGAGAAUGUUGUGUAUGAUGGCU
This is a long non-coding RNA of Zea mays, 365 nucleotides long. RefSeq lists it as uncharacterized. The transcript is spliced from 2 exons. Lineage: Eukaryota; Viridiplantae; Streptophyta; Magnoliopsida; Poales; Poaceae. The record is from RefSeq and is a predicted model, not a curated record.